This is a long non-coding RNA of Nycticebus coucang (slow loris), 1073 nucleotides long. RefSeq lists it as uncharacterized. The transcript is spliced from 3 exons. NCBI's taxonomy places the organism in Eukaryota, Metazoa, Chordata, Mammalia, Primates, Lorisidae. The record is from RefSeq and is a predicted model, not a curated record.
UAAUUUACAAGACAGGGAAGGUCGGGCAGGAGCUGCACCAGCCAGGCCAGCUGUGUCUCGGCUGCCCAACUCUGUCUCAUUCCCGCCACAUGCGCUUUCACAGGCACUCUGCCCUGUUGGUCUGUCUGCCUUUGAAUCAGUUCAUUCCCAGUUAAUCUUCUCUAGCCCUAUGCUUAGUUUUAUCAAUUUUAACUACGUCCCUCAGGGUUGCUUUCUGCUUUGCCAAGUUUCCUCUGAAUAACAGACAGAGGCUCCUUUUUACUUUUCAGAGACCCCUUCAGUACCACUGGACGUGUGGGCCACAUCGGCCCUGUUCCCAGUACAAGAAGCUCCAGGAGUGGGUGGAGCUCUUAGGCUGUGGGUUUCUGCUUCCAGGAAACAGCUGGAAGUCAGCAGACCUCCAGAGACCAGGGAGGGAGAAGCUGCAGGGUCAGCCUCACCCCACCUCCUCCCCUGAGAGCCCUCAGCUUGGAUCACCUGGAGAAUGGCCACCUGGUCACCCGUCCCGGGUGAGUGAGGCAGGUGCCUACUCUGUUACAUGACCCUCAGUCACAAAUUCCCAGUCCCGGAGAUCUGUGAGGGGACACUGAACCCAUGCAGGUCACACACCCGGCUUCUGUAUGAACUGCAGAAUUCCUUCAUCAGAUUGCCACUUUAGAAGGAUGGAGGGGAAGACUCAGGACAAGUCCAGGUGGGAGAUGGGAGGGUUCAAGAUCUGAGCUCUCCAUGCACUUGAAGAAAGGGCCUGAUGAUCUCUGCCGCCUUGAUCCAGGCUUGGGUUUAAUGAACCACUGAACUUGGCUGAGCAAGGAGACGUGCACAGAGGGGGACCAAGUAGCCGUGAGGGGGAGACUGAAGAGAGAGGGCAAGAGGGGGGGUGACAGCAGGUGGAUUCAGAAGCCUGGGGAACCAACCUGGGGAAUCAACCUGGGAGGUACAGCCCAGGGAGGGGAGAAGCCCAGGGGCCUGGAGAAGGGCGUGAGUCCUCUCUGGGGAUGGCCCAGCUCUCACCAAGCAGGACACUCCCACCAGAUGCAGCACAGAUGUCCCUUGCUCACCGGGCCAUUUUGACU